CCUUUUCCCUUUUCCCUACUCUGUCAUAUUUAUAAUGUAAUUUAGGAAAUGUCUGUCAGUGGAAAAUGUUUCUUCAUUUUCCUUUAAAUCUUGGGGAAACAUGUGAUUUUAUUUUUAAGUGCUCUAUAAGUGUCGAAUGAGGUACGUACUAUUAAGUUUGUGAAAUUUAGAAAAUGUAAGUGUAUGUCUGAGUAAAUUUGCUUGGCCACCAAAAAAGGUAGUAAAUUUGCUAAUGCUGUGCAAGAUUGACAUAUUUUUAGUGAUUUAUUUACUGUAUUAAAUUGAAUAUGAAUUUAGAGUGUAUUUAUAUACUAUAUUUAUAGCCAUUUUAUCAUCCUGUAUACUGGCUGCUCUUCGUAUUCAUUCGAUUGACUUAUGCUGAAGUUACUAAAUGAUGACAAUAAGUUUUGAAUGUCAAAUACAUCUCAAGGCAUAGUUUUAAUUUCUUUAUGCCCCCUCCACUUUUUUCGGGCAUGGGACCGGCAUUGGCAGUGUUAGGCCCCCCCUACCCAUAUUAUUAUUCAAAAAACUUAAGAAUUAAUUAGUACAUUUGUGAUUAGCUAUAGUUUUAAUAAUUUUAAAAGAAAAAGGAAGAUUAAAUCAGGUCUGAUUGCAUUCUACAUAUUAAAUAUAAAAAAUGUCCCGACGCUCUCACUAUUGCUUUGCACUAAAUAAUAAGCCUGAAGAAUCAGAUAUCACAUAAUAUAGUCAAUGUUUUGUAGCAAUGAACUAUUUCCACCAAAUGUCGAUUCGUGUUUGCGAUACAUCGGCACUGUUGGAGACCAUAUUUGUCCUGCCAUAUCAUGUGAGCAUAGUGAAGUCGCUUUGUAUUUUUCAUGAUAGUUUGCAAUGUACUAAAUUUCUAUAUGUAUGCAAUUCUUAUGUAAUAGGCCGCCUCAGCUAGUGAAAGAAGUGUCAUGCUGAAAUUUUGUUAUUUUUUCAUACCUUUACAAUAUUUGUACUAAAUCAACAACAACUAAAUGGAACGGAUGGAGUACAUUCUUGACCACAUCAUCCUCAUUGCUAUCUUCAUCAUUUAUCAUUACCUGCAGUCCAUCCCUUUUUUGUGACUCUUGAGAAGGCUACGUAUAGUUGUCCAUGUGUGAAAACUUGUUUAGGUAGAAAUAGUUCUACCUUGUUUAGAGAUUGCCCCUUGCUUUUCUUGAUAGUCAUAGCAGAGCAAACCGAUAUUGGAUAUUGUCUCCUUUUUUAGAACGAACGGCCAUGUGGAUUCAGUUGGUGACAUGACUAUUCUUGGAAUAUAUAUACCAUUUCUCCCACAUGUGUUCCUGUUGUUAUCUGUGCUUUGAUGAAUUUUCUUCCAAGUUAAAAUUAUCAUCCUUGUACAAUUGCAUAACCCAUCACUUUGCUUGAUAUUACAUAGGAGCAUCACAUGUAUUUCCACUUUUAAUUCGAGCUUGUGAUUUAGGAUUCCAUGAAAUUGUAAGCUAUUCAGUAACUCUGCUGGAUAUAACAUUUCCGUUUAUGCAUUUAAGGUUGUUGCCUUGCAUACUGUGUUGCAGUUUAAAUAAAUUUUCUCUUCACCUUGUAGUUGAUCCAUUAUAUAAUCAUUUAUAUCGUAAAUUGUUUCGUUCCUUGGACAUAAUAUUGCUCUUUCUUCUGAGAAAUAUCGCUUGCGAUAGUACCUCCCCUGCAAAUUUGGAUAUGCUUUCCACAUUUUUUUUAUUAUUUCCUUUCUUUAGUAGUAUGGCACUUGGUAUUUUUAUCAUCUCCUCACCUUCUGAUGUUGUAUUUUUUUCCAUCACUAAUAUUCAGAAUCCACUCUGUGAAUUUUGCUACCUUUGUUUCUCUGAUUCAUCAUGUGUUGUGCAGUUGAGUCGCAUGCUCUUUGUUAGUUUCAUUAUAUGAAUGUCCCUCUCUUUUCAAUACAGAGAAACGCAAAGUCUUCUUGCGUUUUCUCAAAAAAUUAUAUGAAUGUCCCUCCAAAGAUAUGACCUUUUAAUGGAUGCAGUUACUAUGUUGUGUCUUCUUCCCUUUGGUAUAACAGAAAGGAUCUGGCAGAAGUCCCCUCCUAGAACCAUUGUCAUGCCCCCGAAUGGUCGCUCAAUGUUGUUCACAUUUUUAUGCCUUAAUAUAUCCCUGAGAGUCCUGUCUAGCGCUUCAAAAUAUAUCUUGUUUGCCAUUGGAGCCUCGUCCCAUAGUAUUAGCGACAUCUUUUUUAGUGUGUCUAUCAAGUGUGAACCUUGUUUGAUGUCACAGGUUGACUCUUCUUUAAGAAUUAGGUGGAUGUGGAACCUUGAGUGUGCCGUUCCAUCUUUGUGUAGAAGCAGCACUGCAAUAACACAUGACACCACUUCUGUUGAGCAAGGCUAUAAUUCUGUGAAGAUGGUACUUACUGGAGGUGGUUUGAUCGCUCAACUGAGCCGAUUGCAGUUGAGGCGAGUCAACAGGAGAAUGGGCCAUUGGAGGGCUGGUUGCCGCUGGAGGAAGACAAUGUCAAAGUGCCACUUGUUGGAUAUGCGGGGUGAUCUGAAGUCAGACAGGACAAUCAAUAAUUGACGCUUUUUAAAGGGAAGGUAUUUUAGGUUGGCUGAGUUAUUUGACAUGUGCACGACGGAAAGAGAGAUUGUUUCGAUCGUGAGAGUUUUGUUCUAUUUGUAGACAGAUUUUAUCUCUUUACACGAUCGUGAGAGGUUGGUUAUAUUUUGAAAAAGGGAAAUGUUUAUAUACGGCGGACCGGCCGAGCGUUCGGCCGGUCGCGCCGCGUGCGUCCGAUUGUAGCAGAUCGUACGAUUACGAGACAGGUUACCUGGCAUUGGGCCCAUGCACCGCUCCGCGCGUCGCCCUCCCCUCCCCUCCCCUGCCUUAUCUCCUUACCAGCGCUCGACCUUAUCCAUUCAGUUUCCUCGUCCCAUUUCUCUCAUCUCUAGAAAUCAACCCCAAAAUCGCAACGAGCACGAGCCCCAAAUCCCGACGACUACUGUUGCCACAAAUUCCAGCAACGCCGGUGACCUCCUCUAGCCCAACGACCUCCACGUCCCCAUCCUCCGUCUCUUGUUCCAAGCCCCACGGCGGCCGCUCAUCCAUCAGCGCGACCAUGCGGCAACCAGCGCUCGUCGCCAUGGCCGACCGCAGCUGGUUGCGCUCCUGUCCAUGGCCGCCGCCGCAGGAUUUGCUACAAGCAUGCUUUGUUUUUUCAGGAACCAGCCCAUGUAUUUGCUAUCACCCACCCAUCCAAAAUCUGCUACCACGUUAGUUUUUGCUGGAACCGGUGAACCAUUUUGCUACAACCGUUUUGGUUUUUGUUACUACCGGUGUUUUGUGCAUUUAUGCUACAUCCAUCUCCAUGAUAUCGCUGUUUUUCCAGUCGAUUUUUUGCUACAACCAUGUUAUGAUUUUGUUGGAACCGAAGAUAAUUUUUGCUGGAACCGACUCAUAUUUUUGCUACCACCCACCCCGCCCAAAAUCUGCUCCCACCGUAUUUUUGCUGGAACCGGCUAACAAUUUUGCUACAACUAUGUUGUUUGUCGAAUUUUUGCUACAUCCCAUCUCCAUGAACAUGCGAGACCCACGACUGUGUCUUUUGAUGCAACCUUUUUGUCAGUUUUUGUUACCACAGGUAUUGAUGAUUGCUACAUUCAUUCUCACAAGAUGCCACAUCCCUGUUUUCUUCGGUCAAUUUUUUAUUGCUACAAUCAUGUUUGAUUUUGCUGGAACCGAAGUCAAUUUUUGCUACUUCCAUUCAUGGCGGCGUUGCUCAACGGUGGCGAUGGAUUUUUUUUUGGGAACCGGGGCUGCCCCCCGAAAGCGAGAAUGGAGUGGCGGUGAGCUUCGAGGCCGGCGUCGAGCUCGUCUAUGGCGGGGGAGGGGUGGGGUCAGCGGGGGCUCAGUCGUCGGCCGGAGGGUUCUUUCGCAUCUGGCGUGCGGCGGCGCGAGGUGGGAGAUGCGGGGAGGACAAAGAAAAAAAGGAGCUUGAUCAAACGGCUGAUAAGACGCGCAUCUGAUGGCUAGGGGUCGACCGGCCGAACGGUUCGGCCGGUGCGCCGGCGCCCAGCACUGCCCUUGUAUCUCUACACGACCGUGAGAGUUUGUUUCUAUUGAGAUUGUAUCCCUUAUUGCUUAAAAAAAGGAGAUUGUAUCCCUCGGUUUUUUAAUUAUUGGAAAUAUGCCAACUGAA
Aegilops tauschii subsp. strangulata is the source of this 4138-nucleotide non-coding RNA. The record is from RefSeq and is a predicted model, not a curated record. NCBI's taxonomy places the organism in Eukaryota, Viridiplantae, Streptophyta, Magnoliopsida, Poales, Poaceae.